Long non-coding RNA from Meleagris gallopavo (turkey), 2512 nucleotides. RefSeq lists it as uncharacterized. Lineage: Eukaryota; Metazoa; Chordata; Aves; Galliformes; Phasianidae. The record is from RefSeq and is a predicted model, not a curated record.
GCCACUUGCAAACUGUGACUUUAGACAAGGGUCCUGGAUGCAAUGGUGGGAUGCACAGGACUGCAUUGCUCCUCAUGCGCUCAUGUGUGAGUGCUGUUGGUUCCAGUGCAGGGAUGGAACAAUUACUCCUGGGCAGGACAUAUACAUCUAACGGGACUUUUUGACCUAUUCCAGAACAACAUAUGCAAACAUCCACUGAAAACCAACACCCAAGACUGCAUCAAUAAAAGUGCUUGGAAAGGCAAAGCCUCCUCCCAUGAAGAACAGUCCAAAAUAGACUUUGUCCAAAGAUAACAGCUUGUGGUCCUAAAACUGGCUCCAGGAAAACAGGGAGAAUAUGAAGUCUGUCCAGGCAAGUCUAUGAAUUCUCAGCAACGUAUAUUGGCAAGGAAACUGAAAUUGCUAUACCAAGUCAUCAUAUCAAGCUACUGGGAGUAACACUGUCAAUAGUAAAUUGCUAUGUUGCAAGACAGCAGGUAGUAGAGGAAGCUCCUAGCAGGGAGAGAUGGAUGAGAGAUAUAGUAGCUUACACCCCACCGGAAAGGAUUACCAGUGAAGCCCCAAAGGAAUAUAAACAAUUUGAUAAAAUUCGGACAGAGAUUUUAGUAGCACAGGCAGAGGCUUUUUCAGUGAAAUCUUCCCCUCCAAUGCUAAGCACGUCAGGUGAGAGUCUAUGUUGUGCCUCUAGGAGAUGCAGCACAGACCUCAAAGCCAAGAGUCAAAAGGGAAAAUAAUGACUUUACAUUACCUCUGCAUUCUCAAAAUUCUGGGCUACCCCUGCGGAGUCGGCCUGAAUUUCUUCUGUUAUGUUCUGCUGCCAUACACUUAACACAUCCAUCCUAUCCCAGCUUGGCUCUGUCCCUUUUUUGCCCCAAACUGAGCCAGAGUCUGGAAGAGAGAUUACACAUGUUUUACCUGCAAACACAUUUAUCUUGACACAGAUAUAUGCCAUGACAAAUCUUAGUCUAAAUGUUUAGAGUUUGGCAAAGCAAUAAACAUCUGAAGAGUCUAAAAUUGUGUUACAAAAGACUUAAUGAUAGAUAGGGUCUAUUUUGUGGAGGUGGGCUUCAUUUUUUCUGCCUUCUGAAGUCCUUAUUUAACUAUUCACAUAUUCAACAAAAGAAAUCAACAAACCAAACCACUACCACCACUACAAAACAACAACAACAACAAAACACAGCCUAAAGUUUCAAAUUAUUGAGGCAAUUUAUAUAUUCAUUCACUUUCAGAUUUUUCGCCUUAUCAAUCAUGUUAUUUUGCAAAAAAUCUAGAUCUGUGAAUUUUUUUUAGGAAGGAUUCAAACCUGCAUUACAAUGUUUUGUCCAGUGAUAUUAUCAGACAAAAGUAAUGCUAUUGUCUUUGUAAAUUGGAAGUCAUUGAAAUCAUACCUCUGUGUAAAUAUAUAUACGUGUAUAUUUAUACAAAAAUUUUUUAAAAGGAAAUCAGUUUUCUGCCCUCCAACCUUAUUAAAAAAAUUGACAUUUCAAGUGUUGCCGUCAUCUUUCACAUUUUCCAAAUGGCUUGACUCCCAUCCCUAUAACAUUUUUUUCUGAUUAGCCUGCUGUCCUGUUUAAUCAAUAGAGCUACAAAGCCAGCUAUCUCUCACGCUAUGGUUAUCUUUCAUUGUACAGUACAUAAUGCCGCUAGUCCUGCUGAUAACAAAGAGCACACAGACAGAAUGUGGCACUGUGUGUUUGUUAUCUUCCACUCAACUAAACAUACCUCUUUCUCUCUUGGCUCUUAUCAAUGCAAAAAUGCUGGAAACAAGUUACUCCUAGUGUUAACACUGCACGUGCCACGCAGUUGGGAUGGAGAUUGUUUCCUGUCUGCCAAUAUGAUACGGCACUACAAAAGCUUGCCAGUGUGAUGCAUCACCUUGUCAGCCUUUAAGAAGGCAGUGCGAAGUGGCACCAUCAGCAGCCAGCUGUAUGCAGCUAACCAGAAUGAUCUGGAUGCUCUGGGAGCAUAAGGAAGGGAGAUUGACCCCAGAGCUGUUCGUGGUUGACCUCAGACCUGCAAAAAGGAAAGUAAUCCAGUUCUAUUCUUUUUCAUUUCCUACAAAACAUAAAAGCUGAUAAGCUUUGUUCUCUCUCAUGGCAAUAAGAAAACAGUUAAAUUGAACCUUCACUUCAGUUAGAGAACAAUCCAGCGAUUUCCGUUCUUGCAGGUCUGCCACUCACAAAGGAUGAAAGUGCCUUUCUCAGGAAAAAAAAAUAGGACCGUCUUCUACGUGUUCCCUGACACAAAACACCUUGAUGGAUGCGAGUGCAAUCCCUCUGAACUUGAGAAUUAGAACUAAGAUUUUUUAUUGGUACUUGCAAUGUGUAGAGGAGAACCUGAUGUUCCACAUUUAAACAGAGCUUAAAAUUUGCAAGAGACCUGCCAUUUUUCCCUUUGCUCUCAACUGAUCUGUAAAAAAGCUUAAACUGGAGAUGAUUGAAUUUCACAAUAUUUUUCUGUUUUUUGUUUGUUUGUUUUUUUUCCAAAAGAAAAGACUGGCAUGGGCCAAUAA